Molecule: long non-coding RNA, 1007 nt
Organism: Procambarus clarkii (red swamp crayfish)
Lineage: Eukaryota; Metazoa; Arthropoda; Malacostraca; Decapoda; Cambaridae
Source: RefSeq, a predicted model, not a curated record
GCUGAGGACCACCACUGUCAUAGAGCAAGAGAGACAUUCUCCCUCAACACACCUGUCAACUCCACACCUGUCAACUCCACACCUGUCAACUCUACACCUGUUACGUUGAGCACAGCCAGGUCCUGCGAUAAGCAGAAAUGAUCAUCAACAUUGUGCUGGUGGUGCUGGUGCUGGUGGCGCUGCUGGGGGCGGUGCUGGCGGGGCCGCAGCUCAUCACCAAGAAGAGAGACUUCCCUGGCCAGAGGCGCCUCGGGACCACCAACUACGGUGGCCACAGUUUCGGCAAGAAAGGUUUUAGUCACCUACCAUUAGCGAGACUGAAGAAUUAGAAGAAUAGGAUGACAAUGGAGUCAAAUUAUCCUGGAAGAUGAUCUGGAAAUCCAUUCCUCUGGCACCUCAUAUCCUGCCUGAGGACCCCUCACUCAUAUCCUAAAUGAGGCAACUCAUAUCCUGCUCGAGUUCCUUCUCUCAUAAUCUACAUAAGGCAUCCCAUAACAAGCCCCAAAUAAAACUAUAUAUAAUCAACAUAACCAACCACAAGCGUCACUUCUGUUGAUAUGCCACCUGCAGGCAACAACAGCCUGAGAAUCAUGCCUGUCAUUGAUGUCCCUGGAAUGUGUGAAAUGUUUUUAUCUCUUAUCUUCGCUAUUAGCAUGUUGCCUCGACCCCCUUUUGAUAAACACCAUUCUACAGAUUUGCUCAUAUAUUCACAUUACAUUGUACGAUUUUGUCUACUGUUGAGUUACGCACUUCUCUGUUUUAUCUAUGUUGUAUGUUUUUUAUAUUAUAUUGUAGAAUACACUGUUAUGUUUCCUAGUUUAAAAGUACGUCUGUAAGGCGUGUGAACGAGACUCAUAGUUGUUAAAUAUUGUAAAUAUUUUGUACGCGUCCAUGUUAAACGCCUUUUUAAUAUCGUUAAGUUGUAAUUAACUGUAUAAAUAUUUACGAAACGAGCGGAAUUGCCAUGUAAAUUAUAAUUACUGUUAUAAAUAAACUGACAAAACCUG